Molecule: ribosomal RNA, 492 nt
Filed under: uncultured bacterium
Lineage: Bacteria
Description: partial 16S ribosomal RNA
Rfam family: Bacterial small subunit ribosomal RNA
Source: RNAcentral
AGUGAACGCUGGCGGUAGGCCUAACACAUGCAAGUCGAACGGCAGCACAGUAAGAGCUUGCUCUUACGGGUGGCGAGUGGCGGACGGGUGAGGAAUACAUCGGAAUCUACUUUUUCGUGGGGGAUAACGUAGGGAAACUUACGCUAAUACCGCAUACGACCUACGGGUGAAAGCAGGGGAUCUUCGGACCUUGCGCGAUUGAAUGAGCCGAUGUCGGAUUAGCUAGUUGGCGGGGUAAAGGCCCACCAAGGCGACGCUCCGUAGCUGGUCUGAGAGGGUGAGCGGCCACACUGGAACUGAGACACGGUCCAGACUCCUACGGGAGGCAGCAGUGGGGAAUAUUGGACAAUGGGCGCAAGCCUGAUCCAGCCAUACCGCGUGUGUGAAGAAGGCCUUCGGGUUGUAAAGCCCUUUUGUUGGGAAAGAAAAGCAGCAGAUUAAUACCCCGCUGUUCUGACGGUACCCAAAGAAUAAGCACCGGCUAACUUCGUG